GUGCAAUAUUCCUUGAGACCCCAGGCAAGGGUGAAAUUAUUCGCCAUCUUCCCUGUUUGCACAAAUUUCACAAAGAUUGUAUUGAUCCUUGGCUCCAUAGGAAAACAUCAUGCCCGGUGUGCAAGUCAUCUAUCACCUAAUUUACCGCUGGUUUUAGAUGGAUAAUUUCUUAUUCUACUACAGAAUGUUGGCUAUCCCAUUUUGGUCUGAGGUCCUAAUGAAGUCUGCCAAACCAGUGGCAAGUCUGAAGGCCGCAAUUUUUUCCCUAUGACAGAUUAGUUACAAAUAUACCUGGUUGAUGGGGCUACACAGGUAUAUACUGGGAUUUAGACUUAGUAAAUUUGUAUCACACUAUUAAGGGCCUGCUUGCUUUUCUACUUUUUGGAGGCAUGCUACUGUUCGCAUAUAAUAUCUUGUGAUGCCAAGUGCAGUUUCAUGAAA
This is a long non-coding RNA of Arachis duranensis, 441 nucleotides long. RefSeq lists it as uncharacterized. The record is from RefSeq and is a predicted model, not a curated record. NCBI's taxonomy places the organism in Eukaryota, Viridiplantae, Streptophyta, Magnoliopsida, Fabales, Fabaceae. The transcript has 3 exons.